Non-coding RNA from Prevotella sp., 108 nucleotides. It matches the Rfam family "Bacteroidales small SRP". Rfam says of the family: The non-coding component of the signal recognition particle in Bacteroides The record is from Rfam. Lineage: Bacteria; Pseudomonadati; Bacteroidota; Bacteroidia; Bacteroidales; Prevotellaceae.
CGCAAACGGGGAAGUGCCGUGCGGCCAGCUCCCUACAAAUCCCCCCAGAGCUUGAUCGCAGCAAGGGUAGUUGGUUGUAGCGGUGCGAUACGGAGAGCUUUCCCACCC